This 450-nucleotide ribosomal RNA is filed under the name uncultured Glomeromycotina. RNAcentral describes it as "SSU rRNA". It matches the Rfam family "Eukaryotic small subunit ribosomal RNA", at positions 569 to 1024 of the family's 1831-position model. Lineage: Eukaryota; Fungi; Glomeromycota. The record is from RNAcentral.
AGCAGCCGCGGUAAUUCCAGCUCCAAUAGCGUAUAUUAAAGUUGUUGCAGUUAAAAAGCUCGUAGUUGAAUUUCGGGGUUAGCAAGUCGGUCGUGCCAUCGGUAUGAACUGGUCUCGCUGAUCCCUCCCUCUUGACGAACUGUGAUGCCAUUAAUUUGGUGUCGCAGGGAAUCAGGACUGUUACUUUGAAAAAUUAGAGUGUUUAAAGCAGGCUCACGCUUGAAUACAUUAGCAUGGAAUAAUGAAAUAGGACGUUUGAUCCUAUUUUGUUGGCUUCUAGGAUUGACGUAAUGAUUAAUAGGGAUAGUUGGGGGCAUUAGUAUUCAAUUGUCAGAGGUGAAAUUCUUGGAUUUAUUGAAGACUAACUACUGCGAAAGCAUUUGCCAAGGAUGUUUUCAUUAAUCAAGAACGAAAGUUAGGGGAUCGAAGACGAUCAGAUACCGUCGUAGU